UUUAUGUAAAUCAUCAGUUGCAUAUAUUUAAACACCAGGCAUGAGUCAGUUUAUACAUUCAUCUGAUCACUAGAGGGAGGGAAGAACCGCUUCAGUCCAUUCAAACUGUGAAACACCAUGAUCUCUUCAUCUUUAGUGUUUCUGGCUGUAGUUUCCUGUAUAGAUUCAUAUGAACUCACUCAGCCUGAGUCUCUGACUGUCCGUCCUGAUGCCACUCUCACUAUCAGCUGUAAAGUCUCCUAUUCAGUUACUGGCUCUGCUACAGCCUGGAUUCGUCAGCCGGCAGGAAAAGCUCUGGAAUGGAUUGGAAUAAUCUGGAGUGAUGGAAGCUUAGCCUACAAGGAUUCCCUGAAAAGCCAGUUCAGCAUCACCAGAGACACCUCCAGUAACACAAUAACCCUGCAGGGAAAGAAUAUGAAAGCUCAAGACACAGCUGUGUAUUAUUGUGCCAGUAUGGAGUGGCAUGCUUUUGACUACUGGGGUAAAGGCACACAAGUGACCGUCUCAAGUGCAGCUCCCAAUCCACCAACAGUUUAUAAGAUGUCUCAAUGUGAACCUUCAUCUGAUUCCCUAAUUGUUGGCUGUCUGGCUUCUGGGUUUUCUCCUGCUGAAUCUGUCAGUUUCAAAUGGAUGGAUCAGAGAGGAAAUGCCUUGACUGAUUUCAUCCAGUACCCUACAGUAACAACUGGAGGCAAGAUGUUGAAAGUCAGCCACAUAGCUAUCAAUGAAACGAAAUGGAAUCAAAAUAAUAUUAGCUGUACUGCAGUACACCCAUCGAAAACUGUCAGUGAAACAUUCACAAUAGUGAAACCACAAAAACCAACCCUGACUUUGGUUCCUGUUACAACUCCAAAAAGUACAUCUGUCAUGUGUGUUAUUGAGGAUUUCUACCCCGAGAAGCUCACUGGUCAAUGGAAAGUAAAUAAUGACAGCACGAACCUGAAACUGGAAAGCAAACUAAAUGAAAAAACAGGUCUUUACAAGGCAUACAGUUUUUAUCAAGUCAGCAGUGAGACUUGGAAUGCAAACACUUUAUAUUCCUGUGAGGUCACACAUCGGGGAAAACCGAUUAUUGAGAAGAAGAACUUUAAAGCUAAAUUCACACUGAUGCUGAAGCCACCCAUUGAGAGAGAACUAUUUGUCAAUAAUAAAGUUGUCUUGGAAGCUGUUGUUUCUGGAGAUGUACAAAAUACAGUGGAAGAAGCUUCAGUGUCAUGUACAGUGAAGAAUACACCUGUAAACAGUGAGAACAUCACAAAAGGAAAUGUCUCAACCGACACUCCAAACUUGUGGAUUCUUACCCACUAUGUCACCAUUUAUAACGAGACAUGGUUUAAUGGAGAAAUGGUCACCUGCACCGUCCGUGACACAAAUAAUAACAGAGACAUCAAGGAGAAGAUCCAUUUUGAUAAAGGAGAUGGACAGAAACCCAAAGUUACCAUUUACAAACCUGAAACUAACAUCAAAGUCAGCGACAGUGUCUCUCUGGUGUGUGAGGUCACAAGCCAUAAACUGGGUGAUGUCUAUAUCAUGUGGAAAGUGGACAAUGAGCCUUACAUAGAGGCCAAAACCAGUGCUCCUAUUCAUCAGAAAAACUCCACGUCUGUUCUCAGCAUCCUAACCUUGUCAAAACAAGAGUAUGAAAAAAAGGCCAUCAGCUGUGCAGUCAAACACGCCAACAUGGACGAUAUAGGAUCUCCAUUACAAGUUUCAACCAGCAAAAGGGAGCCACCAGAGCCGGAGAAGGGCUUUGCUCUGAAUUGUAAUAAAGAUGUUCUGGAGGAGGAUGAGUUCAGAAGUCUCUGGUCCACUGCCACUUCCUUCAUCUUCCUAUUCCUCUUUUCUCUGACAUACAGCGCUCUACUUAGUCUUUUCAAGAUGAAGCACUGAUGAAUUUUAUAAAGAACUCCUUAAGACUCCAAGGUUUCUUAUUCUGAUGUUGAAUCUACAUAAUUUGCCUCUAUUCACACAUUUUUAAAGACAUUGACAAAUAUUGUAAGUCUUCAAACUCAUCAAUUAAGUAUCAUUGUUUCUAUGAUACAAGAGACAAGAGACAUUAUCUUGUCAUUUACAGUAGAUGUUACAGGGAUAGGUCCUUCAGAACAUAAAAUGUGUGAGUAUUACUUAUAUAGAUCCAUUCACUGAAAAAAAUGAUGAAAUUGCAAAAUUCAUUUAAUUAUGUUAUAAUGAAAUUUUAAAGUAGAAAGACUGAAAUAGUGUUUUCUUGAAAAAUCAUACUCCAUACUAAUCUUAAUCAAGUUAAUCAAGUUUAAAUCAUGAAUCAAUUUAAUCAUUUAAUCAAAUUAUUUAAUUUGUCAAAAAACUAUUAUGACUUCAGAGGACAAAUGGGUCAUUGUUGACAAAGCUUCAAAAAACUUUUCGAAAAACUGAUGCAAUGCAUAUGUUUGAGUCAUGAGCAACAUGUUUAAACUAAAUCAUUUUUAUGUCAGGUGGUAAAACCAAAUAUAGUUGUACCACCUAAUAGUGUACCAACCCAACCCAUGUACCCAUUCAUGAAAUCAGCAGUUUUACUAGUAUUCUCUGGAUGCUGCAUUAUUAUGUUUACUGUUAUUACCUCAUCAAUUCACAAUCAAAGAGCCACGUUUGCAGUUGUGUCACCCUGACAUAUUAGAAUAAACUAAAUGCUGGACAAAAGUUUUUAAAUUAUCUCAACAGUUUUACAAUAAAUCUACUGAUAUUUAUAAAAUGUGUUUCUAAAGGUUUCAAACCUGAAAUGAUUCCAUAGCAUUUAGUUUUCAGUCAUUUGUCCAUGUGUGCAUUUAAGCCCUCGUGUUUGCCUUGUGUGUUUGAAAAGUAUUGUUUCGUGUAACUGCUGUUAGUAAGCGCCAUGUCUAUGUUCAUGUUUUUGUUUUGAGUUUCAUGCCAUGCCUUGCCUUUGUUUGAUCUUGUUUUUGGAUAUUAAUAAAACUGCACUUUUCUG
This is a non-coding RNA of Pimephales promelas (fathead minnow), 2941 nucleotides long. NCBI's taxonomy places the organism in Eukaryota, Metazoa, Chordata, Actinopteri, Cypriniformes, Leuciscidae. The record is from the annotation of a RefSeq genome assembly.